RNAcentral lists this ribosomal RNA (576 nucleotides) under uncultured eukaryote. Its description in RNAcentral is "SSU rRNA". It matches the Rfam family "Eukaryotic small subunit ribosomal RNA", at positions 174 to 758 of the family's 1831-position model. The record is from RNAcentral.
UAAAAACCCCGACUUCGGAAGGGGUGUAUUUAUUAGAUACAAAACCAAAGCCCUUCGGGGCUCUUUGGUGAUUCAUGAUAACUAUACGAAUCGCACGGCCUUGCGCCGGCGAUGGUUCAUUCAAAUUUCUUCCCUAUCAACUUUCGAUGUUUGGGUAUUGGCCAAACAUGGUUGCAACGGGUAACGGAGGGUUAGGGCUCGACCCCGGAGAAGGAGCCUGAGAAACGGCUACUACAUCCAAGGAAGGCAGCAGGCGCGCAAAUUACCCAAUCCCGACUCGGGGAGGUAGUGACAAUAAAUACUGAUACAGGGCCCUUUCGGGCCUUGUAAUUGGAAUGAGUACAAUUUAGAUCCCUUAACGAGGAACAAUUGGAGGGCAAGUCUGGUGCCAGCAGCCGCGGUAAUUCCAGCUCCAAUAGCGUAUAUUAAAGUUGUUGUGGUUAAAAAGCUCGUAGUUGAACCUUGGGCCUGGCUGGCCGGUCCGCCUCACCGCGUGCACUGGUCCGGCCGGGCCUUUCCCUCUGUGGAACCCCAUACCCUUCACUGGACGUGGCGGGGAAACAGGACAUUUACUUU